ACGGCGAGUGAAGCGGCAACAGCUCAAAUUUGAAAUCUGGCGUCUUUGGCGUCCGAGUUGUAAUUUGCAGAGGGCGCUUUGGCAUUGGCAGCGGUCCAAGUUCCUUGGAACAGGACGUCACAGAGGGUGAGAAUCCCGUACGUGGUCGCUAGCCUUUACCGUGUAAAGCCCCUUCGACGAGUCGAGUUGUUUGGGAAUGCAGCUCUAAAUGGGAGGUAAAUUUCUUCUAAAGCUAAAUACUGGCCAGAGACCGAUAGCGCACAAGUAGAGUGAUCGAAAGAUGAAAAGCACUUUGGAAAGAGAGUUAAAAAGCACGUGAAAUUGUUGAAAGGGAAGCGCUUGCAGCCAGACUUGCCUGUAGUUGCUCAUCCGGGUUUUUACCCGGUGCACUCUUCUAUAGGCAGGCCAGCAUCAGUUUGGGCGGUUGGAUAAAGGUCUCUGUCACGUACCUCCUCUCGGGGAGAACUUAUAGGGGAGACGUAAUGCAACCAGCCUGGACUGAGGUCCGCGCAUCUGCUAGGAUGCUGGCGUAAUGGCUGUAAGCGGCCCGUCUUGAAACACGGACCAAGGAGUCUAACAUCUAUGCGAGUGUUUGGGUGUCAAGCCCGAGCGCGUAAUGAAAGUGAACGGAGGUGGGAACCUUUCGGGGUGCACCAUCGACCGAUCCUGAUGUCUUCGGAUGGAUUUGAGUAAGAGCAUAGCUGUUGGGACCCGAAAGAUGGUGAACUAUGCUUGAAUAGGGUGAAGCCAGAGGAAACUCUGGUGGAGGCUCGCAGCGGUUCUGACGUGCAAAUCGAUCGUCAAAUUUGGGCAUAGGGGCGAAAGACUAAUCGAACUAUCUAGUAGCUGGUUCCUGCCGAAGUUUCCCUCAGGAUAGCAGUAACGUUUUCAGUUUUAUGAGGUAAAGCGAAUGAUUAGAGGCCUGGGGGUUGAAACAACCUUCACCUAUUCUCAAACUUUAAAUAUGUAAGAAGUCCUUGUUACUUAAUUGAACGUGGACAGUUGAAUGUAUCGUUACUAGUGGGCCAUUUUUGGUAAGCAGAACUGGCGAUGCGGGAUGAACCGAACGCGGGGUUAAGGUGCCAGAAUAUACGCUCAUCAGACACCACAAAAGGUGUUAGUUCAUCUAGACAGCAGGACGGUGGCCAUGGAAGUCGGAAUCCGCUAAGGAGUGUGUAACAACUCACCUGCCGAAUGAACUAGCCCUGAAAAUGGAUGGCGCUCAAGCGUAUUACCCAUACCCCGCCGCUGGGGCAAGAUUUAAGCCCCAGCGAGUAGGCAGGCGUGGAGGUCCGUGACGAA
Molecule: ribosomal RNA, 1302 nt
Filed under: Boeremia exigua
Lineage: Eukaryota; Fungi; Ascomycota; Dothideomycetes; Pleosporales; Didymellaceae
Description: LSU rRNA
Rfam family: Eukaryotic large subunit ribosomal RNA
Source: RNAcentral